Long non-coding RNA from Mustela erminea (ermine), 530 nucleotides. RefSeq lists it as uncharacterized. The transcript is spliced from 3 exons. The record is from RefSeq and is a predicted model, not a curated record. NCBI's taxonomy places the organism in Eukaryota, Metazoa, Chordata, Mammalia, Carnivora, Mustelidae.
UUGAGGAGAGAAUCUGCCUCUGUGCUGGCACAGAUUGACGGCACAAACAUUUCUAUUAGGAAUGACAGAACAGCAGAGUCAAGCUGGUUGUGUAUAAAGCAACUACGGUCACACAAAUGAGGAGCCCAGUAUGACCAGGUGGAGGUCUUAGUCCCAAGUUCAAUGGAAUUCUUCCCAUGUUUCCCUGUGGAAGGCUUUCUUCCUUGGAAGCUAGGACCUCUAUUCCAGCAGGACCUAAAGUUUCAGGGAUAAGAAGAGUACAUUUUUUUAGACAAGCCAUUCACCUUUGCCAGGAGAACAAGGACAGUGACAACGUACGCUAGUCACAGCUCUGCUGCUUGGAAGUAUCUGCUUUAUGUUUUGUUGUUCAGGGAUACUCCAGUGUGUGUCGGUCCAUUUCCAUGAGCAUGAAUGUAUUCAGUGUGAUCAUUUAUAUAUUAAGAUGUUACAGGAACAUAGGCACAUGUUAACCCAACAUAUAAUUAUACAUAAACAUGUAUAAUUAUGUAGCUAUAUUGAUUAAAAUUUAU